UGGCUUUAUACUAAAAUUUCGAUUGAUAAAUUUAUUUCUCUCUUCUCUAAAAUGUGAACAAUUAAUAAUGUAAUGAAAUUCAUCUCCAAUAUCUAGCUUACAUAAAUUAGACUUUCUUUUUUCCCUUUCUAUAUUGUACCAUCUUCCAAGUUCGACUGGAAGUUUAUGGUUACAUAUUCUAAAUUUACAUAAUGUCAAAAAAUCUUUUU
This 209-nucleotide long non-coding RNA is filed under the name Mytilus galloprovincialis (Mediterranean mussel). Lineage: Eukaryota; Metazoa; Mollusca; Bivalvia; Mytilida; Mytilidae. The record is from RNAcentral.